CCCAUUUCUUCUCCUCCAUGAUAGCUUUCUUCACCUCCAUCCAUUCCUCUACCACCUCUUCUUCCUCCUCAUAAUCCUCCUCCAAGCCAUCCAUUAGCCAUCUCCUUCUAUAGCGACCCCCUCCUCCUCCUCAUCUUCUUCCUUUUUCAAGCCCACCUAUGAGCAAGGAGUAUUUCUAUUCAUUAAGAGAAAAAUAUAAUACUGUUUGUUGGUAAGUGAAUGGCUGGACUACAUUAGAACAUAUCUAUAACUAAAAGGAUCAAUUUGAUACUUUUUAAAGUACAGAAGAUGUAA
This 294-nucleotide long non-coding RNA is filed under the name Elaeis guineensis (African oil palm). RNAcentral's name for it is "long non-coding RNA (EGUI_LNC004716)". Lineage: Eukaryota; Viridiplantae; Streptophyta; Magnoliopsida; Arecales; Arecaceae. The record is from RNAcentral.